Molecule: ribosomal RNA, 386 nt
Filed under: uncultured Methanosaeta sp.
Lineage: Archaea; Methanobacteriati; Methanobacteriota; Methanomicrobia; Methanotrichales; Methanotrichaceae
Description: bacterial SSU rRNA
Rfam family: Archaeal small subunit ribosomal RNA
Source: RNAcentral
GUCGGGCUGAAGACCUUACCCGAUUAGCUGAGAGGUGGUGCAUGGCCGUCGUCAGUUCGUACUGUGAAGCAUCCUGUUAAGUCAGGCAACGAGCGAGACCCACGUCCACAGUUGCCAGCAUACCCUCCGGGGUGAUGGGUACACUGUGGAGACCGCCGCUGCUAAAGCGGAGGAAGGAGUGGGCAACGGUAGGUCAGUAUGCCCCGAAUCUCCCGGGCUACACGCGGGCUACAAUGGUUGGUACAAUGGGCAUCUACCCCGAAAGGGGAAGGAAAUCUCUUAAAGCCAAUCGUAGUUCGGAUUGAGGGCUGCAACUCGCCCUCAUGAAGCUGGAAUCCGUAGUAAUCGCGUUUCAACAGAACGCGGUGAAUACGUCCCUGCUCCUU